RNAcentral lists this unclassified non-coding RNA (316 nucleotides) under uncultured fungus. RNAcentral describes it as "sequence contains ITS1". The stretch from base 1 to 105 matches the Rfam family "5.8S ribosomal RNA", at positions 50 to 154 of the family's 154-position model. The record is from RNAcentral. Lineage: Eukaryota; Fungi.
AAAAUGCGUUACCUAGUGUGACAUGCAUACACUCGUGAAUCACCGACAUCUUGAACGUAACUGACGAAGCGGGUUCAUCCCCGCUUCAAUCACGACCGAGUGCCAACAAUUCACCACAAAAUUGAGCGUACGAUUUUUACCCUAGUGUGAAAAAAAUCGUCGCUUUAAAUUCAACGGUAUUUUUUACAUAAGCGCGGUCAAAAACCCCGUAGAAAAAUUGAUACCGGUAUUUCCCCCGUGAAAAAAACAUUUUUUUCGCGGUCAAAUUCACCGUCUAAUUUGACCUCGAUCGUGAUAGACUACCCGCUGAAUUUAA